This 253-nucleotide ribosomal RNA is filed under the name uncultured bacterium. Its description in RNAcentral is "partial 16S ribosomal RNA". It matches the Rfam family "Bacterial small subunit ribosomal RNA", at positions 524 to 776 of the family's 1533-position model. The record is from RNAcentral.
UACGGAGGGUGCAAGCGUUAUCCGGAUUCACUGGGUUUAAAGGGUGCGUAGGUGGGUCUGUAAGUCAGUGGUGAAAUCUCCGGGCUUAACCCGGAAACUGCCAUUGAUACUAUAGGUCUUGAAUUAUCCGGAGGUAAGCGGAAUAUGUCAUGUAGCGGUGAAAUGCUUAGAUAUGACAUAGAACACCAAUUGCGAAGGCAGCUCGCUACACAUAUAUUGACUCUGAGGCACGAAAGCGUGGGGAUCAAACAGG